Molecule: ribosomal RNA, 491 nt
Filed under: uncultured bacterium
Lineage: Bacteria
Description: bacterial SSU rRNA
Rfam family: Bacterial small subunit ribosomal RNA
Source: RNAcentral
CGCCGGCGGCGUGCCUAAUACAUGCAAGUCGAGCGGACUUUUUAAAAGCUUGCUUUUAAAAAGUUAGCGGCGGACGGGUGAGUAACACGUGGGCAACCUGCCCUGUAGACUGGGAUAACCUCGGGAAACCGAAGCUAAUACCGGAUAAUCAAUUGAAGCACCUACUUCUAUUGUAAAAGUUGGGAUACUAACACUACAGGAUGGGCCCGCGGCGCAUUAGCUAGUUGGUAAGGUAAUGGCUUACCAAGGCGACGAUGCGUAGCCGACCUGAGAGGGUGACCGGCCACACUGGGACUGAGACACGGCCCAGACUCCUACGGGAGGCAGCAGUAGGGAAUCUUCCGCAAUGGACGAAAGUCUGACGGAGCAACGCCGCGUGAACGAUGAAGGCCUUCGGGUCGUAAAGUUCUGUUGUUAGGGAAGAACAAGUACCGUUCGAAUAGGGCGGUACCUUGACGGUACCUAACCAGAAAGCCACGGCUAACUACGUG